This 467-nucleotide ribosomal RNA is filed under the name uncultured bacterium. RNAcentral describes it as "partial 16S ribosomal RNA". It matches the Rfam family "Bacterial small subunit ribosomal RNA", at positions 28 to 506 of the family's 1533-position model. The record is from RNAcentral.
GAUGAACGCUGGCGGCGUGCCUAACACAUGCAAGUCGAACGGCAGCGCGGGGUGCUUGCACCCUGCCGGAGAGCGGCAGACGUGUGAAUAACGCGUGGAAACGGGCCCCGAAGUUAGGAUUAACUCCCGGAAAGGGGAGCUAAUACCGCAUAGUAUCUUCGGAUCAAAGGAUGUAUCGGCUAUGUGCGGCGGUCGGGUAUGGUUACGCGGCUGAUGAGCUAGUUGGUGGGGUAGCUGACUACCAAGGCCUUGUCGGGUAGCAGGCCUGAGCGGGCGACCGGCCACAUUGGGACGGAGAGACGGCCCAGACUCAUACGGGAGGCAGCAGGGGGGAAUAUAGCACAAUGGGCGGAAGCCUGAUGCAGCAACGCCGCGUGCGGGAUGACGGCCUUCGGGUUGGAAGCCGCUUUCGCCUGUGACGAAGCGUGAGUGACGGUAAUGGGGAAAGAAGCACCGGCUAACUACGU